Molecule: long non-coding RNA, 4091 nt
Filed under: Homo sapiens (human)
Lineage: Eukaryota; Metazoa; Chordata; Mammalia; Primates; Hominidae
Description: non-protein coding MIR503HG:12
Rfam family: mir-322 microRNA precursor family (bases 2934-3017)
Source: RNAcentral
GCCGGCUGCGCCGCUCGCCUCCAAGGGAGCGUUCCGUGCUGGCCCCUCGCUCGGCUCCGCUCCGCCUCCGCCACGCCGCUCUCCGAGCUUCGGCAGCAGCCAGCGCCCCCUCCACGCUGCGACCCCGGCUCUCGGCUCUCCGUCCCUGUAGCUCCGUGCCCAGCACCUCGCGCCCCGCAACCUCGCCGUCUCCCAAGUCCCGGGCCCCGCUUCUGUCGCUGUCCGUCGCUGUCCGUGUGUCGCUCGCUCGGUCUGUCUCUCCGCCUCCCCAGCCCUUCCUUCCUCCCUGUCUCCCUCGCUGGCUUGCACGUUCGCUCGCUCUCGGACGCGGCGAAACAGCUUCGCAGGCAAAUCCCAGAAACCUUUGCAAAAAGCUUGCAAUGAAAUUUAAGAAGUUCUUCGAUUUCGGCGCCAUUUUCGAGUGGAGCCAGAGGUGACAUGCGAUUUUUUAAAAAGGGACUUGGUGGCUGGCGUCUUUCCCGACUGUAACGUGGGUUACGGCAGGCAGAAAAACAUCUGGUGAUAAUUCUGAAAAAAGUGCUGUGGCGUUUGGGGGGGUUGUAAAGCACGUUUUGCGGGCGGGAUGGGGGCAAAUCUGACAUUUAAAGUGUUUAACAAAUGAGUGCGGCCGGGAAAUUCUCAGGAAACGGACUGGGAAAAAAAAAACAACAACUAACAUGGAGGGGCGGGGAGAGAAAACUGAGUAAGGGGCAGUGACCGACUGUCAGCCUCGCUAGGGUCGGGAGCGACUGGUUUUGACAGAAUGUAAAUGAACUUUUCCUCUUAUUUGCAAGAAGUUAGUUAUGUCUUGGAAAGAAAUGUGUGAUUAAUUUCACAUUGUCUCUCCCGAAUUAAAACUUUAAAGGUUGUUUAGUUUUCCCCGUAGGGACUUGACAUUGUGGAAGUUUGGCUAGAAUGCGCCGAGAGAAGGUACAUCGUGUGUUUGGGGUGUGGGGGACGAAGGCAUAUGCAAAAUUAAAAGACAAAACGUUGUAGAGUAUGAACAGAGGAAGAGGCGUAUUCUUUGGCUCUUAAAUCAUUUAGCCAAACACAUUGCAGUUCAGAAGGGGGUGGGGCUAUGGCAACUCGAAAGUAUCGAUUCUUUGUCUAUUGUAUCAGUGAAUGACCCUCUCCUGAAGUGACAAGACGCCCCUUUGUAAUCUCUUUUCGUAAGUAAAUUUCAGUCUAAGGGGAAAUAUGUAAACUAGGGGAUCGAGGUGGCUUUUUAGGGGUGUAACUCGUUGUACUAUCACUGGGAGAGAUGAAAGGGGUUAGGGUGAAAGGUAUAAAUGAAUUUGAUUCCAAGAGCAAUCUGGAAGGGACCUUCGCCUUUGACACCGAUGCUGUUUCGAAUGAACUUUUGUUUUUCUAAGUAGUCAACUAAGGAAAUGUUAAAUUAGGCAUGACUUUAACUUCUGACAUGAUGGCUCGUAUAUUUGUGUGGAACAAAAUGUUGGGAGAAAGUUGUGGAGUUUUACAUGAUAAUUGUACAUUUGCUAAACAUGUUUUUUUUUUCUUUUUAAGGGCAGUCAACGACAUUUUUCUCCAUUAAUCCCAAAGUCAGUGUAAAAGUUGUUUGUAAAUAUCAUUGCCAAAACAAGAUGGAAUGUAGAGAUACUUGAUUGUCGCAAUUUAGGGAAUGGGGUUAUUGUUACUAAUGACUUUUUUUUUUUACCAUGACAUAGUGUAUUUGUUACCACUGGAUCUCAGUCUGGAUGUUAUAAAUUCGAUACUUAAUCUUAUUAAAUACUCUGCACAUUUUAUUAACUAAUAAAUAGGACACUUAACAUUCAUUGUACUGGUUUUGAAAAACCGACUUAAUUUGUAAGUGUAACAAGAUACUUACAGUUGGAUAAUUUAAAUGUCUAUUACUUGUGCUGAAAUGUAUUUAACUUUCAAAACCAUUACAGUUAGUGCUGAUUUUGUUGUUUUAACUUUUAGGUUUGUGAUUGAGGAUUUCAGAGUGGGUUUUUUUUUUAAUGCUUAAUUGAAUAUUGUAUUCAAACAAAAAGAGGGCAUGCAUGUGACUUGUUGCUAAUAUGUGUCCAUUUUAAAAAGGAAAAAGUGGUAUCUAAUGAGUUAAUCAUUAAGGAGUAUGCGCAGUGCCGGCCAUUUCAGGACAUGAAAGUUUCUGUGGAGCUGCUUGAAACAGGAAGGAGCGACUUGACAUCAAGUAUUUAAACUUUUUGAUUUAUGUUUUGAUAGAUGACAUUGAUAGGUAUAAAUUAUAAAUAAGUUUGAGUAACCAGUUUAAUAUGUAAACUGGUAUUUCAUCUACAGAAAGUUCUCUGUCAUUGUUUGGAGCUCUUUAAAAUAACUCAGCUGGGGUGUUUAAGAAUAAAAACACUAGCAGUGAGUUAGGACAUCUAAUGCUUUUAAAGAUAGAUGUAUAUGUCGCAACGAUAGUGUAAGAAUCAGCUGAAGCUACCGGUGAGGUUUUGGUUAUUUUCUUUCAGUCAUCUGAGUCCAUUUCCAAUAAAGGUUGUUUUUUUGUUUCGUUUUUUGUUUUUUUUUAAUGGGGACAAUGAAUGAGACUUGUAAUAUGCAGCAGGAAGAAGUUUCACCAAGACUUUGAAACUGGCAAGAAUGAUCCAGAUGUCCAAUUGCCUCUACUUAACCUUAUUCGUCUACCUUCAGAAGUAAUUAGAUUCUCUUCCACACUAAUUCGUAUCCCCCAUCGCUCUGCUUUUCACCCACUACGUUGUUCCAAGAUUCAUCCUCAGGGGAAAAAAUUGAGAGCCACACUUUCGGCUCCACCUGCAGCUCCUGGAAAUCAAAUGGUGAAGUUAUAAGAAGUACCUUAACUUGGAGUGAAGUGGCCUAGUCAUAAGUUUUGCCCUAUUCCUUGCCAGGGGGUGGGGCGGGGCUUCCUUCAGUCAUCCAGUCUUUAUUCACCCGCAGGUACCCCCAGAUCGAUCCCCCUUCAUUGACUCCGAGGGGAUACAGCAGCAAUUCAUGUUUUGAAGUGUUCUAAAUGGUUCAAAACGUGAGGCGCUGCUAUACCCCCUCGUGGGGAAGGUAGAAGGUGGGGUCUGCCGGACGCGUGUUCCUGCCACCAGGUGCCCGCUCCCCGCGAGGCCGGCUCAGGAGCAGGACAACGAAGAAAACCUAUCUUCAGUCCCCACCCACGAAAUGCUGGGGGGUGGGGAGGACUGGAAAAGGAGUAAGGGGAGAGGAAGGGUGAGCAGCUGCAAGAAGUCUUUACACCUCUCUGCGGUUCCUGGUAAACGCGCUCAUGUCCUGGGUAUGGAAGGGACUUAAGAAUUCAGGAAAGAUCAAAAUAACGGGCCUCUUCCCCACUCCCUCGCCCUCCCUUCCCCGCUGCUGGGGGGUUAGGGAGGCUCCGUGGAGCUCCAGCACUCUAGAAGGAUCGGGUGAGGCGCGAGGCCUUGCGGGCGGGUGAACCCAAGGUGGGGUGGAAGGCUCCAACCCGCCCAAUCUGAGCCCGAGGCCUGCUGAGAAGCAUGGGGGCCUUGGGAUAGUUCCAGAAUGAGGAUGUGCGUUUCUAGCUGCUUUGCGCCCUCCUCCCCCAAAAAUCUGCUACCACAAUUCCAACCCGGCGGCACGCCCCCAAGACUCCUUUGUCGCCCCAGGGGCGGGACCUGAGCUGUCGAUUUCAGGAGCCCUUCGUGACUUCAAAAGUCCUGGGCACUGUUGCUCAUGAGUGCUGCACAACUGUCGCCCUCUAAAGCCACCUCCAUCCCUCACUGGGCUGGCCUCCUGAGCCUUCGGUGAGGAAACGGGGUUCCGAGUUGCCCGCCUGAGAGCUUAACAGUCUGACUAGAAAAGGGCUAAUUCGCUUUCUGUGCAAAUCUCUUGAGCUAAUUAUUUAAUCUGAAACAUGGACAGGUAAAGGACCAUUGGCGGGCGUGGGGAGGGAGGUGUGGAAUCUUUCCCACACUUUUUGUCACCUUAAAGAAAAAAAAAAGACACCCAAACUCCUCUGGUCUGAAUGGGCUGCCUGGAACUGGGCUUCCCGGGGCCAGGAGUGGGCCCCUAGAAGUUUCCCAGUUUGGGGUGGGGCCGGGGUUCCGAAGUCUAGAGCUGGGAGUCGGGUUCAGCGGCCCGAGACGCUGGCUCUCCCAGACUCC